GAUGAAGAACGCAGCGAAAUGCGAUAAGUAAUGCGAAUUGCAGAAUUCAGUGAGUCAUCGAAUCUUUGAACGCACAUUGCGCCCGCCGGCACUCCGGCGGGCACGCCUGUCCGAGCGUCGCUUCCACCACCCUCGGGCGCCCUGCCAAGGGCGUCCGGCGUUGGGGCCCCUGCGGGCUAGGGGGCCCGCAGGUCCCCCGAAACACAGCGGCAGCAGCGCCAGCGGCAUCCCCUGCGUAGUACCAGACGACCUCGCACCGGACCGCGCGCGCGUCUCGCCCUUUGACGACCUCAAGGUUGACCUCGGAUCAGGCGGGGAUACCCGCUGAACUUAAGCAUAUCAAUAAGCGGAGGA
RNAcentral lists this unclassified non-coding RNA (354 nucleotides) under soil metagenome. RNAcentral describes it as "partial contains 5.8S ribosomal RNA, internal transcribed spacer 2, and large subunit ribosomal RNA". The stretch from base 1 to 120 matches the Rfam family "5.8S ribosomal RNA", at positions 35 to 154 of the family's 154-position model. The record is from RNAcentral.